AGGGUUUGAUUCUGGCUCAGGAUGAACGCUGGCGGCGUGCUUAACACAUGCAAGUCGAACGAAGCAAUUUGGCGGAAGUUUUCGGAUGGAAGCUAGAUUGACUGAGUGGCGGACGGGUGAGUAACGCGUGGGUAACCUGCCUCACACUGGGGGACAACAGUUAGAAAUGACUGCUAAUACCGCAUAAGCGCACAGGACCGCAUGGUCUAGUGUGAAAAACUCCGGUGGUGUGAGAUGGACCCGCGUUUGAUUAGCUAGUUGGUGGGGUAACGGCCUACCAAGGCGACGAUCAAUAGCCGACCUGAGAGGGUGACCGGCCACAUUGGGACUGAGACACGGCCCAA
Molecule: ribosomal RNA, 344 nt
Filed under: uncultured bacterium
Lineage: Bacteria
Description: bacterial SSU rRNA
Rfam family: Bacterial small subunit ribosomal RNA
Source: RNAcentral